GCUACGGGUGGCAGCAGUGGGGAAUAUUGCACAAUGGGGGAAACCCUGAUGCAGCGACGCCGCGUGAGUGAAGAAGUAAUUCGUUACGUAAAGCUCUAUCAGCAGGGAAGAAAAUGACGGUACCUGAGUAAGAAGCCCCGGCUAACUACGUGACAGCAGCCGCGGUAAUACGGAGGGGGCAAGCGUGAUCCGGAUGUACUGGGUGUAAAGGGAGCGUAUACGGUGCGCCAAGUCUGUUGUGAAAUGCCGCAGCUUAACUGCGGAACUGAAUUGGAAACUGGCGAACUAGAGUGCGGGAGGGGUAAGCGGAAUUCCUGGUGUAGCGGUGAAAUGCGUAGAUAUUAGGAGGAACACCGAUGGCGAAGGCGGCUUACUAGACCGUAACUGACGUUGAGGCUCGAAAGCGUGGGGAGCAAACAGGAUUAGAUACCCUAGUAGUC
RNAcentral lists this ribosomal RNA (440 nucleotides) under uncultured bacterium. Its description in RNAcentral is "partial 16S ribosomal RNA". It matches the Rfam family "Bacterial small subunit ribosomal RNA", at positions 338 to 795 of the family's 1533-position model. The record is from RNAcentral.